This 234-nucleotide ribosomal RNA is filed under the name uncultured Actinomycetales bacterium. Its description in RNAcentral is "partial 16S ribosomal RNA". It matches the Rfam family "Bacterial small subunit ribosomal RNA", at positions 97 to 334 of the family's 1533-position model. Lineage: Bacteria; Bacillati; Actinomycetota; Actinomycetes; Actinomycetales. The record is from RNAcentral.
GGCGAACGGGUGAGCAACACGUGGGUGAUCUGCCCUGCACUUCGGGAUAAGCCUGGGAAACUGGGUCUAAUACCGGAUAGGAGCCAUUUUUAGUGUGAUGGUUGGAAAGUUUUUUCGGUGUAGGAUGAGCUCGCGGCCUAUCAGCUUGUUGGUGGGGUAAUGGCCUACCAAGGCGGCGACGGGUAGCCGGCCUGAGAGGGUGGACGGCCACAUUGGGACUGAGAUACGGCCCAG